Molecule: ribosomal RNA, 759 nt
Filed under: Comamonadaceae bacterium
Lineage: Bacteria; Pseudomonadati; Pseudomonadota; Betaproteobacteria; Burkholderiales; Comamonadaceae
Description: bacterial SSU rRNA
Rfam family: Bacterial small subunit ribosomal RNA
Source: RNAcentral
ACGCGGAGCUAUCCUGCGUGAGCGAGUGAGCGAACGGGUGAGUCAUAUAUCGGAACGUGCCCAGUCGGGGGGGAUAACGCAGCGAAAGCUGUGGUAAUACCGCAUACGAUCUACGGAUGAAAGCGGGGGAUCGCAAGACCUCACGCGAUUGGAGCGGCUGAUAUCAGAUUAGCUAGUUGGUGGGGUAAAGGCCUACCAAGGCGACGAUCUGUAGCUGGUCUGAGAGGACGACCAGCCACACUGGAACUGAGACACGGUCCAGACUCCUACGGGAGGCAGCAGUGGGGAAUUUUGGACAAUGGGCGCAAGCCUGAUCCAGCAAUGCCGCGUGCAGGAUGAAGGCCUUCGGGUUGUAAACUGCUUUUGUACGGAACGAAAAGGUCUUUCUUAAUACGAGAGAUUUAUGACGGUACCGUAAGAAUAAGCACCGGCUAACUACGUGCCAGCAGCCGCGGUAAUACGUAGGGUGCGAGCGUUAAUCGGAAUUACUGGGCGUAAAGCGUGCGCAGGCGGUUUUGUAAGACAGAUGUGAAAUCCCCGGGCUCAACCUGGGACCUGCAUUUGUGACUGCAAGGCUAGAGUACGGUAGAGGGGGAUGGAAUUCCGCGUGUAGCAGUGAAAUGCGUACAUAUGCGCACGAACACCGAUGGCGAAGGCAAUCCCCUGGACCUGUACUGACGCUCAUGCACUAAAGCGUGGGGGAGCUAACAGGAUUAGAUAUUCUGCUAGUCCCUGCCCUUAUCUAUGUAAACUCGGCUG